CCCACACGUGACCUGACCUGUUCUCUUCUUUCUUCUCCCGUCCUCUCCCCUUUAUUUCAUCGCCGCCGUCCUCCGGAGUCACUGCUGUUUUCCAACGUUCUCUGAACCAAAACCACUCGCCAUCGCCCGCUCCCAAACCCAAAACAAAACAAGAAUCCGAGCUUUCCCGCCCUUCUCCUCGGCGAUGGCGGCUCUAAACGGCCUGUUGAGGGCCGGCGCCGCUGUCCGUCGGCCGACAGCGGCGGCGAGGAGGUGGAUCUCGUCGCUGGCCUCCUCGGAGGCUGAUACCCGCGUCGCCGCGAGCCUCGCCCGCCAGGCGAUGCCAGGGAGGAGGGAUCCUGGGAGCCGGAACGUGCAGUGGGUGUUCCUUGGGUGCCCCGGCGUGGGGAAGGGCACCUACGCUAGCCGACUCUCCCAGCUCCUCGGUGUCCCCCACAUCGCCACCGGCGAUCUCGUUCGCGAGGAGCUCGCAUCCUCCGGUCUCCUCGCCCAACAGCUUGCUGAUACCGUAAAUCAAGGCAAGUUGGUGUCAGAUGAGAUCAUCAUCGAUUUGUUGUCUAAACGUCUUGAAAAUGGAGAAGCUAAGGGUGAAUCAGGAUUCAUUCUUGAUGGUUUUCCAAGAACAAUAAGACAAGCGGAAAUACUGGAGGGAGUGACAGACAUUGACCUGGUUGUGAACCUUAAGCUUAGAGAAGAUGUACUGCUUGCAAAGUGCCUUGGUAGAAGGAUUUGCAGCCAGUGUGGAAAGAACUUCAACGUCGCCUCCAUCAACAUCAAGGGCGAGAAUGGGAGACCUGGCAUGUUCAUGGCCCCACUUCCACCUCCUGCACAGUGCAUUUCAAAGCUAUUUACUCGAGCUGAUGAUACCGAAGAGGUGGUAAAAGAGCGUUUACGCAUAUACCAUGAAACGAGCCAACCAGUCGAGGAGUUCUACCGCAGCCGAGGGAAGCUCUUGGAGUUUGAUUUGCCAGGAGGGAUCCCAGAGUCUUGGCCAAAGCUGCUGCAAGUUUUGAAUCUUGAAGACCAUGAUGAUAAGCAAUCAGCAGCAGCGUGAUUAUAAGUCAAAGGUCACAGAUUCUCUGCAUGUGCGUUGUGCGUGCUUUGUGAUUUUUCAACAAUUCUUUGAAUAAAAUUUCAAACCAAGCCCACGAUUUAUAAAGGAUGCUAAUUGUUUUGAGCUUUAUUUAUUGGAGGAAAGGUGCAAUAUGGAAGUAAUAGGAUAAUUUUGGAUUAUGUAUGCUGAAAUUUUUCAGAUAAACUAAUUUUAUGGUUUGGUUUUCCAAACGUGUAAACUGUCGCAGCUGUUUAUGAAGCGACAGGAUGAUGCAUUGGCCAAGAAACAUUUGAGUCACCUAACUGCUAGCAAGCCUUCGGUGGUCUUUUGGAAUCAAAGGAGCUCACAGUGGCGCAGUCUGUUCACCAAAAAGAGAUUCUUGCUUUAAUAUCUGGACUUGCAAAUUAGACUUUCAAGUUAGUGAAGUGAGGUCUGGGAGUUGCUGAGUAGUGGACAAGCUCUAAAGCUCACAGAACCAGAAAGACUCAUCUUGAGUCAAGCCUGGGAUCGUAUGAGCUGGAAUGGACUGGAGCAAAAGAUAUUAGAUGGCUUUCUGUUUCUUCCGGAGGGCAACUGCUGGAAACAUGGUAGCUCCCAUGGAGAUGCAUCUUUAUUUUGGUUCAGCCCCAGCAGCGAUAGUGCUGAACUUACUGAAGAUAGGGAAAGCUUAUCCGCUGUGAACGUAGAUGGCAUUUUUCUCGUUCCUUGUGGCGUUCCAGCCCAUUGCUUUGGCACCGGCUCAUGCAAUGGGGGAUUGGCCCUGGAACACUGAAUUCCUGGUUGGCCCUACUACCUGCUUUCUAGUGAGUAAUAUGACUCAGAAAUCAGUUGAAUUUUCACAAGUAUCCUUGAUAAAAUUUUUUAUAUUGACAUAAUAAGAAUUAUAUCCUUAUUUACUCUAGCAAGAGUGCUUAUCGGUUGUUAUUAUUCACCAUUUUUCAUGCUGACUCUGUGAGAGCUCUUCUGUUGUCGAUCCACUAAAUAUAAUAGGACUUGUUACCGGAUUUGAAAUACUGAUAUAAACUUGCAUCAGUAGCAUGAGCGUGCAAGCAGCCAUGGCAACACCAGCCAGCCUGGUCAUUGUUAAACUGAAAAGAAAGUGCAUCUUGAAGAGGUUGGAUACACUGUGACAGCUCGCUGCAUCAUUUUCAUCUGAAGCCAAAUAAAGACAUGGAAGCAAGAAUCUUUUUACCUCAGAGGAGCCAACUUCAAUUAGUUUGCAGCUCAUGAAGCAGUCUGAAGGCCUGUGCUGAUGGCUGCCUUUUAAUUCUCAAUCCAACUUGUACAUAAAACCAAGCAAAUAUUUUAUGAUAAUACAUACAACAGGGUAACCUGCCCCCUACUAUAA
Molecule: non-coding RNA, 2402 nt
Organism: Phoenix dactylifera (date palm)
Lineage: Eukaryota; Viridiplantae; Streptophyta; Magnoliopsida; Arecales; Arecaceae
Source: RefSeq, a predicted model, not a curated record